RNAcentral lists this ribosomal RNA (443 nucleotides) under uncultured bacterium. RNAcentral's name for it is "partial 16S ribosomal RNA". It matches the Rfam family "Bacterial small subunit ribosomal RNA", at positions 338 to 795 of the family's 1533-position model. The record is from RNAcentral.
CCUACGGGAGGCAGCAGUGGGGGAUAUUGGACAAUGGGCGGAACCCUGAUCCAGCGACGCCGCGUGAGUGAAGAAGUCUUUCGGGUUGUAAACUUCUGUCAUCAGGGACGAAAGAAGUGACGGUACCUCACAAAUAAGCCCCGGCUAACUACGUGCCAGCAGCCGCGGUAAUACGUAGGUGGCAAGCGUUAUCGGGAAUUACUGGGUGUAAAGGGCGCGUAGGCGGUGAAGGAAGUCUGGAGUGAAAGGUCGGGGCACAACCCCGGGGCUGCAUUUGAAACUAUUGUACUUGAGUGCAGGAGAGGUAAGCGGAAUUCCGAGUGUAGCGGUGAAAUGCGUAGAUAUUAGGAGGAACACCAGUGGCGAAGGCGGAUUACUGGACUGUAACUGACGUUGAGGCGCGAAAGCGUGGGGAGCAAACAGGAUUAGAUACCCCAGUAGUC